This is a non-coding RNA of Cyanistes caeruleus (blue tit), 255 nucleotides long. NCBI's taxonomy places the organism in Eukaryota, Metazoa, Chordata, Aves, Passeriformes, Paridae. The record is from RefSeq and is a predicted model, not a curated record.
GGACAGACCAAGAAAUCCAGACGUACACCAUUGCAGUAAUAAAUGCACUCUUCCUUAAAGCACCAGAUGACAAGAGGCAGGAAAUGGCAAACAUUUUGGCACAAAAGCAGCUUCGUUCCAUCAUCUUAACUCAUGUUAUCAGGGCACAGAGAGCCAUCAAUAAUGAAAUGGCACACCAGCUAUAUGUUCUGCAAGUGCUUACCUUUAAUCUUCUGGAAGACAGAAUGAUGACAAAAAUGGAUCCCCAAGAUCAAG